Molecule: ribosomal RNA, 116 nt
Filed under: Anolis carolinensis (green anole)
Lineage: Eukaryota; Metazoa; Chordata; Lepidosauria; Squamata; Anolidae
Source: RNAcentral
CCCUAGGUCUAAUAACCUAAUGGCACCAGAUCCCAUCUGAUCUUGGAACUAAACAGGGUUAUUCCUGGUCAGUACUUGGAUGUGAGACCAUAAAUGAAUACCAGAAGCUGUAGGCC